GCCUGCCAAGGUCCUUCUCGUCUCGCCCACCUUUGCCCCUGAGAGCAAGCUGGAGGCUCCUCAAAGCAUGUGGCCUGAAUCCGGCAUAGCAUCUUGUUUGCUGGCUAGUCAUUAGAAGGUUGUGGGAAACAACCUGAUGAAAAGUUGAUGCAAGACACUUUGAAGAGCAUGAGAAAUCCUAGCUCAUGUAUGGUAGAUCCUUCAGUGGAGGUGACCAAGAAUAACCACGACGAUGGAAAGGGCAUGAUGUUUUGGCUCCAGUGCUGCUGCUGAUUGGCUUUGGCUACACACCUUGGCAAAAACAAGGACGAAACCCUCCCAUGCUAUGUCAUAAGGAAGCCGAAAGGACCGAGUAUGAAUAAGAGGCUCUUUCCUUGGCUUUCUGCUCUGUCAGCUACCUCGACACCGUGGGCGCCGUGACCAUAACUGCAACUGCAUCAAGUGCUAUUUCAGAUGAUCUUGGUUCAAAUUAUCAGUGGCUAUACCUAUUUUAGAGCGGCCUAGCCUUGCCGUCCAUCUCUUUGAAGCGGGGUUUGCUGGUCAAGCACAUGCGGUGCAUGGACGCAGAAUUGGCCGGGCGGGUACUUCUGGCGUCACGAGAAGCCCUGUCAAGAAUUUGUUUGAUCCGUUGUCAUGUAACCUGUCCACCCAUGGUGCUGAUCUGCUAUUGUAGGAUACCGAAUUGGUCUGUGCGUUCUGAAAUAGGAUUUUUGUCUUGAUGUCGUUUUGUUUGGUUCCAUGCCCAAUAUGUUAUCUGCAUAGAUUCUCAGGCUUGACACACCUGACGAUUUUGUACAAGUUAAGCCUUGAUAAAUUAUUGCCUAGCUUGCUUGUUAUAUGAUGUUGCUGCUAUGCAAAAAAAAAAAA
This is a non-coding RNA of Lolium perenne, 867 nucleotides long. The record is from RefSeq and is a predicted model, not a curated record. Lineage: Eukaryota; Viridiplantae; Streptophyta; Magnoliopsida; Poales; Poaceae.